Molecule: transfer RNA, 73 nt
Filed under: Bos taurus (domestic cattle)
Lineage: Eukaryota; Metazoa; Chordata; Mammalia; Artiodactyla; Bovidae
Also listed under: 5 other names
Rfam family: tRNA
About the family: Transfer RNA (tRNA) molecules are approximately 80 nucleotides in length. Their secondary structure includes four short double-helical elements and three loops (D, anti-codon, and T loops).
Source: Rfam by way of RNAcentral
UCCCUGGUGGUCCAGUGGUAAAGACUCUGUGCUUUCAAUGCAGAGGGCGCAGCUUUGAUCUCUGGUCAGGGAA